RNAcentral lists this long non-coding RNA (1413 nucleotides) under Macaca mulatta (Rhesus monkey). RNAcentral describes it as "lncRNA (ENSMMUG00000063107.1)". Lineage: Eukaryota; Metazoa; Chordata; Mammalia; Primates; Cercopithecidae. The record is from RNAcentral.
ACCACACUUUCUAAUGGGAAUGUAUUCAUUUUUCUGCAGCUGUAAUGAGAAAGAUGUUUCCUGUUUCUUUUCCAGGGUAGCAUUCUCAAAGUUAAGCCCCGAGAUUCUGUUCAAAAUUACCCCAAAACAGACCAGAUUUCAGAACCCUACCACAAUCACUCUGUGAAAGAAAAAGAGCCCAGCUUGUCAACAGCGGAGGCCAUUGUGGAGCCCCAUGGGAAGAAUCACAUUGUAUCAUGUUUUCAUGGAAAGGGCAGCAAUACAUCUUCUAGCAGGUUGAACCAAGGGCAAACAACAGGAGAAAAUAAAAAUGAAGAGAAGGGUAAAGUCAGUUAUUUCUAUUUUUCCCUCUUUAUGUUUUUCUUUUGUGUUGUGUGUGUGUGUGUGUGUGUGUUAUUUUUGUUUUGUCUUGUGUUGUUUUGCUACAUCUUAAGCUGUAAUGUGGCUACAUUACACACUGGAUGGCCCUUCCAUUUUGGAAGCCUAAACUUAUUGUAUGGGAAAGCUACAUUGAAAUAGACCAGUGCUAGCCUAUUGCUGGUUUUACCAGUCAUCCCAAUUCAGAUGCCAGAAAUGGAAACUGAGCCACCUUGACUCCUCUAUAUCAGCACAUUUAUCAGCUGAAUAUUACCAAAUUUAAUGUGAUAUGGAUCCAAAUAAUUGCUCAACUGAGCUUUACUAAAAUUCCCGACAUAAUAUUUUUAAACUACUAAAUUUCAGAUCAGUUUGUUACAUAACAAUAAAUAACAAGCAGAAAUUGGUAACAGAAUUGGAGUGUUUUAAAAAUGCCUGAAAGGUAUAACACUGUUUUAUAAUAGUGGCAGGUGGAAACUAAAAGGUCCUGAAAGAGAAUGUUCACAAUAGUUGUAGGGGCCUCAGUAAGGCUGUUGUUGAAGGCUUGAAGGUGAGUGAGAAAAAUGGCCUUGGAGUCUGAAGAAAACAGAAACAUUCUAAUGAAAUAGCAGAAAUUUGUCAAAACUGUUUGCUGUUUGCUAUAUAACAUAGAAAAUAAAAAAAAAUGAUCUCAUAAACUUUUGUAUCUCACAAGGGAUAUUUCAGGCAUUAUCAAAGAAAUCCCCUAGUCUUCUAGCUUCCAAUGAUAAAAUAUGAGAAAUAGUGAAUUAAAUAAGUAUUGGUUUAGUUUUUGAAAAAUAUUAGAGAAAAUACACCAGCAAAACUUGCUGGUUUUACAAAUGCGACUGGUUCUCAUAUCCAUUUUUUUGUUGCAAAAGACUUUUAAAUUAAGAAAUGGAAUAAAAGUGAAGAUCAAGUCCAAGGUGACACCAGUAAACAUAGCCUGAGGGUUAAAAUUUCAUCUGUGUGGCUGUAAGAGCCUUUGUGCAGACCCCAGAAAAAUUCACGGGCCUAUCCAAUAUGGCAUUUAAAUCUCUUAAGGGUAUUGUAAAAUAGCAC